GACGUAGGAUGCAAGCGUUAUCCGGAAUUAUUGGGCGUAAAGCGUUCGUAGGUGGUUUGUUAAGUUGGAUGUUAAAGCCUUAAGCUUAACUUAAGACAUGUAUCCAAAACUGGCAGACUUGAGACAGGUAGAGGUAGAUGGAGUUCUGUAUGUAGGGGUAAUAUCCGUAGAUAUACAGAGGAACACCAAAAGCGAAGGCAGUCUACUGGACCUGUUCUGACACUCAAGAACGAAAGCGUGGGGAGCAAACGGG
Molecule: ribosomal RNA, 253 nt
Filed under: uncultured bacterium
Lineage: Bacteria
Description: partial 16S ribosomal RNA
Rfam family: Bacterial small subunit ribosomal RNA
Source: RNAcentral